AGAACACACACUAAUUAUCCCUAGGCCAUGGGAUAAACAAAAGCCCUACAAAAACAAGUUAGCACACCAUAGAAUGGUUCUAUCAUGAUUACUAACCUAUGUCUCUGAUACCAAUUGAAGGAAAAAACUU
RNAcentral lists this microRNA precursor (130 nucleotides) under Vitis vinifera (wine grape). Its description in RNAcentral is "MIR845_2 microRNA precursor family". It matches the Rfam family "MIR845_2 microRNA precursor family". The record is from Rfam by way of RNAcentral. Lineage: Eukaryota; Viridiplantae; Streptophyta; Magnoliopsida; Vitales; Vitaceae.